This 622-nucleotide ribosomal RNA is filed under the name uncultured Ascomycota. RNAcentral's name for it is "eukaryotic LSU rRNA". The stretch from base 257 to 410 matches the Rfam family "5.8S ribosomal RNA". Lineage: Eukaryota; Fungi; Ascomycota. The record is from RNAcentral.
AGUGACCUGCGGAGGAUCAUUACUAGAGCAAAGGAUAGACAGCGCCCGCGGAGCUCGCUCCCGGGGCUACCCUACUCCCGUAGGGUUUAGGGUCGUCGGGCCUCUCGGAGAAGCUCGGUCCUGAACUCCACCCUUGAAUAAACUACCUUUGUUGCUUUGGCGGGCCGCCUCGUGCCAGCGGCUUCGGCUGUUGAGUGCCCGCCAGAGGACCCCAACUCUUGUUUUUAGUGAUGUCUGAGUACUAUAUAAUAGUUAAAACUUUCAACAACGGAUCUCUUGGUUCUGGCAUCGAUGAAGAACGCAGCGAAAUGCGAUAAGUAAUGUGAAUUGCAGAAUUCAGUGAAUCAUCGAAUCUUUGAACGCACAUUGCGCCCUCUGGUAUUCCGGGGGGCAUGCCUGUUCGAGCGUCAUUAUAACCACUCAAGCUCUCGCUUGGUAUUGGGGUUCGCGGUUUCGCGGCCCCUAAAAUCAGUGGCGGUGCCUGUCGGCUCUACGCGUAGUAGUACUCCUCGCGAUUGAGUCCGGUAGGUCUACUUGCCAGCAACCCCUAAUUUUUUUUAAGGUUGACCUCGGAUCAGGUAGGGAUACCCGCUGAACUUAAGCAUAUCAAUAAGCGGAGGAA